Molecule: transfer RNA, 56 nt
Filed under: Camelus bactrianus (Bactrian camel)
Lineage: Eukaryota; Metazoa; Chordata; Mammalia; Artiodactyla; Camelidae
Also listed under: 2 other names
Rfam family: tRNA
About the family: Transfer RNA (tRNA) molecules are approximately 80 nucleotides in length. Their secondary structure includes four short double-helical elements and three loops (D, anti-codon, and T loops).
Source: Rfam by way of RNAcentral
AGCUCAGCGGGAGAGUGUGUGCUUGGCGUGCACAAGGUCCUGGGUUCAAUCCCCAG